RNAcentral lists this ribosomal RNA (739 nucleotides) under uncultured archaeon. Its description in RNAcentral is "bacterial SSU rRNA". It matches the Rfam family "Archaeal small subunit ribosomal RNA", at positions 53 to 769 of the family's 1478-position model. The record is from RNAcentral.
GCAGUCGUGCGUCUCCAGCUAUGAUGGAGACGCGGCGUACAGCUCAGUAACACGUGGCUAACCCACCCUUGAGACGGAGACAACCCCGGGAAACUGGGGCUAAUCCUCGAUAGGAGAAGACACCUGGAAGGGGUCUUUUCCCAAAAGGCGCUUAGAUCAUGCUUCUAGACGUCGCUCAAGGACGGGGCCGCGGCCGAUCAGGUUGUUGGUGUGGUAAUGGCUCACCAAGCCUAUAACCGGUACGGGCCGUGAGAGCGGUAGCCCGGAGAUGGGCACUGAGAUAAGGGCCCAGGCCCUACGGGGCGCAGCAUGCGCGAAAACUCCGCAAUGCGCGAAAGCGUGACGGGGUUAUCCCGAGUGCCGUCCGCUGAGGAUGGCUUUUCUCUGGUGUAAAGCGCCGGAGGAAUAAGGAGAGGGCAAGACUGGUGUCAGCCGCCGCGGUAAUACCAGCUCUCCGAGUGGUGGGGACGAUUAUUGGGCUUAAAGCGUCCGUAGCCGGCUUGGCAAGUCUUCUGUUAAAUCCAGCGGCUUAACCGUUGGGCUGCGGGAGAUACUGCUAGGCUAGGGGGCGGAAGAGGCCGACGGUAUUCUCGGGGUAGGGGUGAAAUCCUAUAAUCCUGAGAGGACCACCAGUGGCGAAGGCGGUCGGCUAGUACGCGCUCGACGGUGAGGGACGAAAGCUGGGGGAGCGAACCGGACUAGAUACCCGGGUAGUCCCAGCUGUAAACGAUGCAGGCUA